UAGGAUUCAGUUGUGCCCUAACUGGUGUA
RNAcentral lists this non-coding RNA (29 nucleotides) under Rattus norvegicus (Norway rat). The record is from RNAcentral. Lineage: Eukaryota; Metazoa; Chordata; Mammalia; Rodentia; Muridae.